Molecule: long non-coding RNA, 130 nt
Organism: Amblyraja radiata (thorny skate)
Lineage: Eukaryota; Metazoa; Chordata; Chondrichthyes; Rajiformes; Rajidae
Exons: 3
Source: RefSeq, a predicted model, not a curated record
CACCCGCUGAGAUUCUCCAGCAUUUUUGUCUACCAGAGAAAUGACUAUACUUGAUUACGAUCGAACCAUCCAAAGUGCACAGAUGCAGGAUAAAGGGAAUGCAAGAUAAAGUCCAGUAAAGUCUGAUUAA